Molecule: ribosomal RNA, 497 nt
Filed under: uncultured bacterium
Lineage: Bacteria
Description: partial 16S ribosomal RNA
Rfam family: Bacterial small subunit ribosomal RNA
Source: RNAcentral
GAUGAACGCUGGCGGCGUGCCUAAUACAUGCAAGUCGAGCGAACGGACGAGAAGCUUGCUUCUCUGAUGUUAGCGGCGGACGGGUGAGUAACACGUGGAUAACCUACCUAUAAGACUGGGAUAACUUCGGGAAACCGGAGCUAAUACCGGAUGAUAUUUUGAACCGCAUGGUUCAAUAGUGAAAGACGGUCUUGCUGUCACUUAUAGAUGGAUCCGCGCUGCAUUAGCUAGUUGGUAAGGUAACGGCUUACCAAGGCAACGAUGCAUAGCCGACCUGAGAGGGUGAUCGGCCACACUGGAACUGAGACACGGUCCAGACUCCUACGGGAGGCAGCAGUAGGGAAUCUUCCGCAAUGGGCGAAAGCCUGACGGAGCAACGCCGCGUGAGUGAUGAAGGUCUUCGGAUCGUAAAACUCUGUUAUUAGGGAAGAACAUAUGUGUAAGUAACUGUGCACAUCUUGACGGUACCUGAUCAGAAAGCCACGGCUAACUACGUG